Molecule: small nucleolar RNA, 128 nt
Organism: Microtus ochrogaster (prairie vole)
Lineage: Eukaryota; Metazoa; Chordata; Mammalia; Rodentia; Cricetidae
Source: Ensembl
CUGCAUCCACUGACAGACCUGGAACAGUUUGGUUGUUCUUCUGGUUUGCACUAGGAUGCCAAAGAAAACGCUCUCUGUGCUUUCUGUCUGUCUCUGUGGCAGUCCAGGUUGAAUUGGAGAGUACAUCU